CUUCACGGACCCCAGCCACAACGGCCGGCCCGCCUCCCGCUCCUGUCCGUACGUCGCCAGCAGCGCCUGCGCCUC
Molecule: antisense RNA, 75 nt
Filed under: Streptomyces sp. DI166
Lineage: Bacteria; Bacillati; Actinomycetota; Actinomycetes; Kitasatosporales; Streptomycetaceae
Description: ASpks TB sRNA
Rfam family: ASpks TB sRNA
Source: Rfam by way of RNAcentral